RNAcentral lists this ribosomal RNA (489 nucleotides) under uncultured bacterium. Its description in RNAcentral is "partial 16S ribosomal RNA". It matches the Rfam family "Bacterial small subunit ribosomal RNA", at positions 28 to 507 of the family's 1533-position model. The record is from RNAcentral.
GACGAACGCUGGCGGCGUGCCUAACACAUGCAAGUAGAACGAUGAAGGAGGAGCUUGCUUCUCUGGAUGAGUUGCGAACGGGUGAGUAACGCGUAGGCAACCUGCCAGGUAGGGGGGGAUAACUAAUGGAAACGAUAGUUAAUACCGCAUAAGAGUAGAGGUUGCAUGAUAUUUUUAUAAAAACUGCAGUUGAAUCACUACAAGAUGAGUAUGCGUUGUAUUAGCUAGUUGGUGGGGUAACGGCUCACCAAGGCGACGAUAGAUAGGGGUCCUGAGAGGGAUGUAACUCACACUGGUACUGAGAUACGGACCAGACUGCUACGGGAGGCAGCAGUGAGGAAUAUUGGACAAUGGUCGGAAGACUGAUCCAGCCAUGCCGAGUGCAGGAUGAAGGUCCUAUGGAUUGUAAACUGCUUUUGUAAGGGAAGAAUAAGGAGUACGUGUACUUUGAGGACGGUACAUUACGAAUAAGCAUCGGCUAACUCCGUG